GGUCGGGUGGCGCAAUGGUAGCGCGUUACUUUCCGGUGUUCUGAAUAUCAAUAGUUGGUAAAGGCUCUGGGUUCGAAUCCCAGCUCGAUCG
Non-coding RNA from Lasiosphaeris hirsuta, 91 nucleotides. NCBI's taxonomy places the organism in Eukaryota, Fungi, Ascomycota, Sordariomycetes, Sordariales, Lasiosphaeriaceae. The record is from the annotation of a GenBank genome assembly.